GUGACGCCCGGUCUCAUUCCGAACCCGGAAGCUAAGCUUUCCAGCGCCGAUGGUACUGCACUCGGUAGGGUGUGGGAGAGUAGGACACCGCCGUAC
This 96-nucleotide ribosomal RNA is filed under the name Actinocrispum wychmicini. Lineage: Bacteria; Bacillati; Actinomycetota; Actinomycetes; Pseudonocardiales; Pseudonocardiaceae. The record is from RNAcentral.